Molecule: long non-coding RNA, 820 nt
Organism: Pipra filicauda (Wire-tailed manakin)
Lineage: Eukaryota; Metazoa; Chordata; Aves; Passeriformes; Pipridae
Exons: 3
Source: RefSeq, a predicted model, not a curated record
CAGCAACUGAACUAAGGCAUCGUGCCCUCCAAGUCAAAUCUGAAGGCUUUGGCAGAGCCGGAUUUGAUCUUCACAGCAGACAAGUCGUCCCGCUCUUGACUCACCAUAAGCACAAAGUCAGAGGAAACAAAAGAAAAAUACUGGAAGUUUCCACUAAAGAAAAAAGGCUCGACUAUGACCAGACAUCCCAAGAAUACUUCACCAACGCUGCAUUUGCAUAGUUGUGCACGGACACAAGGCUGACCUGCUGAGGCUGGUGAAGAUGUGCAACACCCUCACCUCCUGGACCAGGUCAACACACGUCUGUCAGCCUACCCUGUCCUGGAAUCUCACAUGUGCUCUGCAGAACGAGAAAACAGGCAGAAGAGGCUGGAACUCCACUGCUGUUCUCCUGUUGCACAAAGAAGGCUUUGUGUGAAACAAAAAUGAUUUCCUUUAGUGAGGUAGAGCUUAACAAGAACAGAAAAUAUGUAUUUUUUAAAAUCUGAAAAUUAACUAUCUUGUCCUGUAGGAGUAGUACAGCUUGGACUCUCUGAUCCUCUUCUUUAAGAGUCUUCACGCAUACUAGAACAUGUUUAUUGAAAAUACUUCCUCGCUUGCAGUGUAAGUCCUCAGCCAUCUGGAACCAGUCCUGUUCCAAAGCCCAUGCACUUGCACUUGAGUAGAGAGCAGGCACUACCUUGAGGAUCCACCACAGUAAAUGAUCUCAGUUCUAAUGGGAAGACAUUUUCAGAACCAGAUUUCCUACUGCUCUGAAAUGCAGAAAAUAAAGCUUAGCACCCAUAAAAAUUCUUUCUCAAUUAAAAAUAAACCACUAUAU